CUACCGUGCAAAGGUAGCAUAAUCAUUUGCCUUAUAAUUGAAGGCUAGUAUGAAUGGUUUGACAAGAAUGAAGCUGUCUCUUUAUAAUUUAAUAGAAUUUUAUCUUUAGGUGAAGAAGCCUAUGUAAAAUUAAAAGACAAGAAGACCCUAUCGAGCUUAAAAAAAAUUAAUAGAAUUAAGUUAAUUAAUAUUCAUAAAAAAUUGUCUAUUAAAUAUUUUAGUUGGGGCGACUGAGGAACAUGAAAAGCUUCCUUUAAAAUGAAAUUAACUAAAAUCAAACUAGAAUUGAUCCAAAAUUAUUUUGAUUAAAGAAAUUAGUUACCGUAGGGAUAACAGCAUUAUCUUUUUUAAGAGCUCAUAUCGAAAAAAAGGUUUGUGACCUCGAUGUUGGACCAGAAUAUCCUAAA
Molecule: ribosomal RNA, 407 nt
Filed under: Nassarius hepaticus
Lineage: Eukaryota; Metazoa; Mollusca; Gastropoda; Neogastropoda; Nassariidae
Description: partial 16S ribosomal RNA
Rfam family: Bacterial large subunit ribosomal RNA
Source: RNAcentral